Molecule: ribosomal RNA, 803 nt
Filed under: Lymeon bicinctus
Lineage: Eukaryota; Metazoa; Arthropoda; Insecta; Hymenoptera; Ichneumonidae
Description: partial 28S large subunit ribosomal RNA
Rfam family: Eukaryotic large subunit ribosomal RNA
Source: RNAcentral
AGUACGUGAAACCGUUCAGGGGUAAACCUGAGAAACCCGAAAGAUCGAAUGGGGAGAUUCAUCGUCAGCGAUUUUGGUACGUGUGCGGUGUCGCGAUGCCCGGUGAGACUUCGGUCACACCGGGCACGCGUCCGCAUGUUUUUUAUUGCCUUAAUCGUCGGCGUGCACUUCUCCCCUAGUAGGACGUCGCGACCCGUUGGGUGUCGGUCUACGGCCCGGGUGGUAGCCUGUCUCGCGUUCGUUACGCGGUUCAGACCCCCGGUUGCCCGACCGGCUGCCCGGCGGUACUCGCAAGGUAUCUGGCCGCAAAUAUUCGAACUGCGUCCGGCCCGUCGCAAGCGCGGUGAGUGUUUCCCGGUAGUACGGAUCUAAAGCCGUCACCGGGCCUCGCCCGCUUGUUGCUCGACGGUGUCCUAGGACUGGCCAAUGUUUAAUUAUGAUACCGGUCGGCGACGCUACUGCUUUGGGUACUUUCAGGACCCGUCUUGAAACACGGACCAAGGAGUCUAACAUGUGCGCGAGUCAUUGGGAAAUGAUAAACCUAAAGGCGCAAUGAAAGUGAAGGUCGGCCUUGCGCCGACCGAGGGAGGAUGGGCCGCGUCACGAUGCGGUCCCGCACUCCCGGGGCGUCUCGUUCUCAUUGCGAGAAGAGGCGCACCCAGAGCGUACACGUUGGGACCCGAAAGAUGGUGAACUAUGCCUGGUCAGGACGAAGUCAGGGGAAACCCUGAUGGAGGUCCGUAGCGAUUCUGACGUGCAAAUCGAUCGUCGGAACUGGGUAUAGGGGCGAAAGACUAAUCGAA